GGAUGGUACAAAGGGCUGCAAAACCGCGAGGUUAAGCGAAUCCCAUAAAACCAUUCUCAGUUCGGAUUGCAGGCUGCAACUCGCCUGCAUGAAGCCGGAAUCGCUAGUAAUCGCGGAUCAGCAUGCCGCGGUGAAUACGUUCCCGGGCCUUGUACACACCGCCCGUCACACCACGAGAGUUUGUAACACCCGAAGUCGGUGGGGUAACCUUUUGGAGCCAGCCGCCUAAGGUGGGACAGAUGAUUGGGGUGAAGUCGUAACAAGGUAGCCGUAUCGGAAGGUGCGGUU
This 288-nucleotide ribosomal RNA is filed under the name Bacillus sp. sm5(2011). RNAcentral describes it as "partial 16S ribosomal RNA". It matches the Rfam family "Bacterial small subunit ribosomal RNA", at positions 1232 to 1519 of the family's 1533-position model. Lineage: Bacteria; Bacillati; Bacillota; Bacilli; Caryophanales; Bacillaceae. The record is from RNAcentral.